This 808-nucleotide ribosomal RNA is filed under the name uncultured bacterium. RNAcentral describes it as "bacterial SSU rRNA". It matches the Rfam family "Bacterial small subunit ribosomal RNA", at positions 1 to 802 of the family's 1533-position model. The record is from RNAcentral.
UAGAGUUUGAUCCUGGCUCAGGAUGAACCCUUGCUACAGGCUUAACACAUGCAAGUCGAGGGGAAACGGCAUUGAGUGCUUGCACUCUUUGGACGUCGACCGGCGCACGGGUGAGUAACGCGUAUCCAACCUUCCCAUUACUGUGGGAUAACCUGCCGAAAGGCCGACUAAUACCGCAUAGUCUUCGAUGACGGCAUCAGAUUUGAAGUAAAGAUUUAUCGGUAAUGGAUGGGGAUGCGUCUGAUUAGCUUGUUGGCGGGGUAACGGCCCACCAAGGCGACGAUCAGUAGGGGUUCUGAGAGGAAGGUCCCCCACAUUGGAACUGAGACACGGUCCAAACUCCUACGGGAGGCAGCAGUGAGGAAUAUUGGUCAAUGGACGGAAGUCUGAACCAGCCAAGUAGCGUGCAGGAUGACGGCCCUAUGGGUUGUAAACUGCUUUUGUAUGGGGAUAAAGUCAAUCACGUGUGAUUGUUUGCAGGUACCAUACGAAUAAGGACCGGCUAAUUCCGUGCCAGCAGCCGCGGUAAUACGGAAGGUCCAGGCGUUAUCCGGAUUUAUUGGGUUUAAAGGGAGCGUAGGCUGGAUAUUAAGUGUGUUGUGAAAUGUAGACGCUCAACGUCUGACUUGCAGCGCAUACUGGUUUCCUUGAGUACGCACAACGUUGGCGGAAUUCGUCGUGUAGCGGUGAAAUGCUUAGAUAUGACGAAGAACUCCGAUUGCGAAGGCAGCUGACGGGAGCGCAACUGACGCUUAAGCUCGAAGGUGCGGGUAUCAAACAGGAUUAGAUACCCUGGUAGUCCGCACAG